RNAcentral lists this long non-coding RNA (1700 nucleotides) under Callithrix jacchus (white-tufted-ear marmoset). RNAcentral describes it as "lncRNA (ENSCJAG00000084779.1)". Lineage: Eukaryota; Metazoa; Chordata; Mammalia; Primates; Cebidae. The record is from RNAcentral.
CUGAGUUUUAUCUCAUGUUCCUUUUCUUAUGAGGGAUACAGGGUCCAUGCUGCUCAGGCCGACUUCUCCUGUAAAAGGGGCUGAAUCUGAGUCAUUAGAGAACCACAUAUGGUUUCACUUCCAGUGACAUCUGGAAAGCAAGGGGUCAGGUAGCAUCACAGAGAUGUCCCGGUGAAAACGGGGACUGAGCUGACGCUGUUGUUCUCUUUGGGAGAUGAGUAGGGAGUGAAAUAGUCAGACCUUGAUGUGGAGGGAAUUUUAGUGAAGAAUUAGAAUAAUGUUUCUUUUCCUUUACUCACCUUCUCAAAUUACCUAAAGAGGAGAUGUAAGGACAGAGAAAAAUAGGGAAGAACAGCAGAAGGAGCUACUUGAGGGAUGACAGGAAUUUAAAUAAAAUCACAACCCUCCAGAAAGAACCGAAAGGUUUCCAACCUCAUUUACCUGAUAGAUGGGGUUUUACCAUGUUGACCAGGAUGGCCUUGAUCUCUUGACCUCGUGAUCUCCCUGCCACGGCCUCCCUGAACUGCUGGAAUUACAGGCUUCCAAGUGAGAAGUUCAGGGCUUCACAAUUGAGAACCAGAAAGAAAAGGAGAAACUGGCCUUUGUUGAGUAUCAACUGUCAACAUUCUUGGAUAAGAAAGUCACGGAUACAGAGUCCUGUCCUAACUCGGAAACUCUGCUCCACCACUAUCUGCAGAGGAGAAGAAGUAUUUAAGCUGAAUACGUCCAAGUUGAUGUGGAUAAAAACCCAAGGAACUUUUCCUAAAGGGAGAACCCCUCUUAAAGGAGAGUCUUAUGACCUGCUUCAGGAGAGAAGGGCAAGGGGAAGGUGAGGGCUAAGAAUUCCUUCUGCAACAACCCUGACAAAUGAGCAUGGUACUUCCAGGAAAAUUUCUCCAGGGUAGUGAAGCUCAUUACCAGAGAGCCACCCAGACAGCAAGAUGAAGCUUAACAAGGAAUACAAGAACAGCCUCCACUUGGAUUCAAAAUCAGCAACUGCAAAAAUUUCAAGAUAAAAAGACCUCCCUAAUGAUAAAGAAACACAUACAGCAAAAACCUUCAGUUGACUCUGUCUUAUUUCAGCUAUGGAAUUUUAGAAUUGGGUGUAUGUGCACCUGAGCAGUAUUCUUUUCUUUGAUAUUUACAGAACCUGUUGGCCAACAUGUUUCCAGAAACAGAGAACCACUCACGACUUUCUAAUAAAGCUAUUCCACAUGUAGACAAACAUAUUCAAUGCUAGUACUAAAAUCUGUUCCUGUUUCGAAUUCUCAUAUCAUGCCUUAACUCCUGUCUUUUGGAACAACUUAGACUGUUUAUGUCUUAACCACAAACACCCUACCACAUACUUGAAGAAGAUUCCCAUAGUUACAGAACACAACUCUUUCCCAAAUAAAAUUUACCUUCACUUUUCCUGAUGAGACAUUGAAAUCUAUUAUUCUUCCCUAGUAGGAUGGAAGUUCUUUGAGUAAAUAUGAGGCAUGUGUGUCAAGGAAAAAGUGGAUGUUUGCUUAAACAAAGAAGUGAGAUCCUGGGAGAAGUCCAACAUGUCACAAUAUUUACCCUGAAAGACACUCAGGCUUAAAUAAAAAUAAAUCAAAUCUUUUAAUCUCCUCUUAACUUAUUUACCCAAAUGCGACAAUGAAUUUUCAUAUAUCACUUUAAAUUCCUGACACACACAAGCCAAAUAUUGAACGCUGAUU